Molecule: ribosomal RNA, 582 nt
Filed under: uncultured Eustigmatophyceae
Lineage: Eukaryota; Eustigmatophyceae
Description: SSU rRNA
Rfam family: Eukaryotic small subunit ribosomal RNA
Source: RNAcentral
CGCGGUAAUUCCAGCUCCAAUAGCGUAUACUAAAGUGUUGCAGUUAAAAAGCUCUUAUUUGUUUUUUUGGCGGGGACGGCUGGCCGGCCUCGAAAGGGGCUGUACUGUUGUUGUUUCCCGUCUUCCUUGGGGAGAGCGGCUCUUACAUUAUUUUGUCGGCGUCGGGAUCCCUAUCUUUUACUGUGAAAAAAUUAUAGUGUUCAAAGCAGGCUUAGGCCCUGAAUACUUUAGCAUGGAAUAAUAAGAUACGACCUUGGUGGUCUAUUUUGUUGGUUUGCACGCCAAGGUAAUGAUUAAUAGGGAUAGUUGGGGGUAUUCGUAUUCAAUUGUCAGAGGUGAAAUUCUUGGAUUUAUGGAAGACGAACUACUGCGAAAGCAUUUACCAAGGAUGUUUUCAUUAAUCAAGAACGAAAGUUAGGGGAUCGAAGAUGAUUAGAUACCAUCGUAGUCUUAACCAUAAACUAUGCCGACUAGGGAUCGGUGGGUGCAUUUUUAGGCCUCAUCGGCACCUUAUGAGAAAUCAAAGUCUUUGGGUUCCGGGGGGAGUAUGGUCGCAAGGCUGAAACUUAAAGAAAUUGACGG